AUGGAGACAUAGUGGAGGUUAUCAGGGAGACAGGUGGUGCAUGGUUGUCGUCAGCUCGUGUCGUGAGAUGUUGGGUUAAGUCCCGCAACGAGCGCAACCCUUAUUGCUAGUUACCAUCAUUAAGUUGGGGACUCUAGCGAGACUGCCAGUGAUAAACUGGAGGAAGGUGGGGAUGACGUCAAAUCAUCAUGCCCCUUAUGACCUGGGCUACAAACGUGAUACAAUGGCUGAAACAAAGGGCAGCGAAGGAGCGAUCUGGAGCGAAACCCAAAAAGCAGUCUCAGUUCGGAUUGAAGUCUGCAACUCGACUUCAUGAAGUCGGAAUCGCUAGUAAUCGCGGAUCAGAACGCCGCGGUGAAUACGUUCUCGGGGUUU
This 375-nucleotide ribosomal RNA is filed under the name uncultured Acholeplasma sp. RNAcentral describes it as "bacterial SSU rRNA". It matches the Rfam family "Bacterial small subunit ribosomal RNA", at positions 1000 to 1382 of the family's 1533-position model. Lineage: Bacteria; Bacillati; Mycoplasmatota; Mollicutes; Acholeplasmatales; Acholeplasmataceae. The record is from RNAcentral.